GGUGAACGCUGGCGGCGUGCCUAAGACAUGCAAGUCGAGCGGGGCAGGUUUAUACCUGUUCAGCGGCGGACGGGUGAGUAACGCGUGGGUGACCUACCCGGAAGAGGCGGACAACCUGGGGAAACCCGGGCUAAUCCGCCAUGUGGUCCUGUCCUUUGGGGCAGGACUAAAGGGUGGAUAGCCCGCUUCCGGAUGGGCCCGCGUCCCAUCAGCUAGUUGGUGGGGUAAAGGCCCACCAAGGCGACGACGGGUAGCCGGUCUGAGAGGAUGGCCGGCCACAGGGGCACUGAGACACGGGCCCCACUCCGACGGGAGGCAGCAGUUAGGAAUCUUCCGCAAUGGACGGAAGUCUGACGGAGCGACGCCGCUUGGAGGAGGAAGCCCUUCGGGGUGUAAACUCCUGAACUGGGGACGAAAGCCCUGUGUAGGGGGAUGACGGUACCCAGGUAAUAGCGCCGGCCAACUCCGUG
This 470-nucleotide ribosomal RNA is filed under the name uncultured bacterium. RNAcentral's name for it is "partial 16S ribosomal RNA". It matches the Rfam family "Bacterial small subunit ribosomal RNA", at positions 28 to 507 of the family's 1533-position model. The record is from RNAcentral.